This is a long non-coding RNA of Rhododendron vialii, 934 nucleotides long. RefSeq lists it as uncharacterized. Lineage: Eukaryota; Viridiplantae; Streptophyta; Magnoliopsida; Ericales; Ericaceae. The transcript has 4 exons. The record is from RefSeq and is a predicted model, not a curated record.
GUUACACAGGUUCUGCAUGUCUCUCACUGAUCUCAAAUCAUCUCUCUCUCCCUCUCUUCGCAACUUUUUUUUGGCCAAGUUUAUCAUUUCCUUUCUUAUUGAUAUCUCCUCCCCCUCUAUAAUAAGAAACACUUUUGGGAGAAUUUUCGCUGGUCAAUUUUUGUCCAAUUUGGACAGAUUUAGCCCUCAAUUGCUAGGAAGCUAUGCUUGACUGAUUGGGUAGAGUAUUUCUUCAUUUGUGUUCCAUGCUCAUCAACUUUGUCUAUUGUAAUUGAUAAAAAAUAUAGCUCAAUGGUUCUGCAAUAAUUUUCUGAUAUGGCCUCCAGUCCUCUCAUAUUAGCAUGAACACCCCCAAAUUCGACUUUCUUAAAUGUAAUUAGUUUCAUGUGACUUGCUCGUUUGUUCUAAACAAACAAAUUUCGGAUCUUUCUCCCCUUUUCCAUUGUUUUAUUCCAUUUCUCCUUUUCAAUGGACUUGGGUUAAUACGCCUGCAUGUUUUCCUGACAGAUACAACUCCAAAAAUUUUAUUUUGGAGUGGUCCAUACUUCUCAUUGACGACUCAAACCGUAGUGGAUCAAUGGAAUUUGUUGUUCCUCCUUCAGAUUCAUCAGUCUUUUUCCCAAUUUCAGUGCAAUUUACUGCUGCAAGAACAUUUAGCGACCUAAAGGUUCUGUGCAAGCAUCAACUAGAACUUAACGAGAAAAAAGAAAAAUCGCUUGACAAAUAGCUUGAGUUUCUUCAGGGGCAAACUGAAAGGUACUCAACAAUGCUAGCAGAAAACCUGGUGAACUCACCAAUUACUUCAAGUUGAUAAAUUCAUGCAUUGCUGCUCAGGAACAACCAAGUACUCAACAUGGACGAGAUGAAAAUGGUACAUGUAUUUCUGUUGGAUUAGAAGUCAGUAAGCUUAAACUGCAGUUUCUUUACCCAAUAU